RNAcentral lists this non-coding RNA (105 nucleotides) under Clostridium botulinum F str. Langeland. RNAcentral describes it as "THF riboswitch". It matches the Rfam family "THF (Tetrahydrofolate) riboswitch aptamer". From Rfam's summary of the family: THF riboswitch presents a pseudoknot that joins P1-P2 and the loop of P3 and two THF binding. Lineage: Bacteria; Bacillati; Bacillota; Clostridia; Eubacteriales; Clostridiaceae. The record is from RNAcentral.
GUAACAGAGUAGGUAAUUACACGUUAAGGUUUAGAGGACGGGAAGUUGUCUCUAAAAGAAAAAUCUUUAAAAGAUUUGCGAUGUGUUACCGCAUUCCGCUGUUAC